Coprinopsis cinerea okayama7#130 is the source of this 73-nucleotide transfer RNA. It matches the Rfam family "tRNA". From Rfam's summary of the family: Transfer RNA (tRNA) molecules are approximately 80 nucleotides in length. Their secondary structure includes four short double-helical elements and three loops (D, anti-codon, and T loops). The record is from Rfam. Lineage: Eukaryota; Fungi; Basidiomycota; Agaricomycetes; Agaricales; Psathyrellaceae.
UGCGAAAUGGUGUAAAUGGUUAACACGAUAGCCUCAUGAGCUUUAACUUUAGGUUCAAUUCCUAAUUUCGCAC